ACUCAACACUAUUAAGUUUAAAAAGGGUGAGUUUAGAUUGUAAAAGCAUGCCUGGCUUGUACCAGGAUCCUUGAUCAGUUUGGUAACCCUAAACCUGUUAAUUGGAGUUU
Molecule: small RNA, 110 nt
Filed under: Sediminicola luteus
Lineage: Bacteria; Pseudomonadati; Bacteroidota; Flavobacteriia; Flavobacteriales; Flavobacteriaceae
Description: 6S-Flavo RNA
Rfam family: 6S-Flavo RNA
Source: Rfam by way of RNAcentral